AUUGCGGCGGUCUCUAAUUCGCUUGGUGCAGGUCGGGAAUUUUCUUCGCCGGCGAUGUCGUUUCUCGUGAAUAUUGCGCUCCAAAAUCGGGCAUAUGCAUAACUGUAUGAAUAACAAUAUAUGAACUUAUUAAUUGAUGUCGUUAUUUGGCGAAAUAUCAGGUUCCCGCCUUGCACUAAGCGAAUUAGAGACCGCGGUGAAU
RNAcentral lists this microRNA precursor (202 nucleotides) under Olea europaea subsp. europaea. Its description in RNAcentral is "MIR168 microRNA precursor family". It matches the Rfam family "MIR168 microRNA precursor family". The record is from Rfam by way of RNAcentral. Lineage: Eukaryota; Viridiplantae; Streptophyta; Magnoliopsida; Lamiales; Oleaceae.